GCCAGGAAAGUUUAGAUACCCACAACUCAUCAGGAGGAAAAGUUUUCAAGAAAAACAGAGACAACAGAACCAAAAGCACUGGGGGAACAGGUAGAGAAGAAAAAAGACCAGUGAACCAACUGAAUGGUCAGCUCAGAAGAUUAGAAGGUGUCCUGGUUUCAGUUAGAACAGAGUUAAUUUUCUUCCUAGAAGCUGGUAGAAUACUAUAUUUUGGCUUAGGAUGAGAAGAGUGCUGAUAACACCCCGAUGUUUUAAUUGUUGCAGAGCAGUGCUUAUACUAAGCCAAGGACAUCUCAGCUUCUUGCUCUGUCCUGACAAUGGGCACGCUGGGGGUGCAGUAAGAGCUGGGAGGGGACAGACCCAGGACAGGUGACCCAAACUAGCCAAGGGGAUAUUCCAUACCAUCUGACAUCAUGCUAAACAAUAUAUAGGGGUGGCUAGCUGGGAGAGGGGGGGGCCAGACUGCUCGGGGUUAGGCUGGGCAUCGGUCAGCGGGUGGUGAGCAAUUGCAUUGUGCAUCACUUGUUUGUACACAUUAUUAGUAGUAGUACUACUACUACUAUUAUUAUUAUUAUUAAUUAUUAUUAUUAUUAUUAUUAUUAUUAUUAUUAUUAUUAUUAUUAUUAUUAUUAUUAUUAUUAUUAUUUUCCUGUCUUAAUAAGCUGUCUUUAUCUCAGCUCACAGGCUUCACUUUCCAUUUCUCUCCCCCGUCCCAGAGAGGGAGGGGGGAGGGUGAGCGAACGGCUGUGUGGUGUUUAGCUGCCGGCUGGGUUAAACCACGACAGAAGGACAAGGUGGACUACAGAAUGAGAUAUCUAUAAAGGAAGAAAAUGUGGAGGGUUAUUCUGUCCUGGAUGUAGAACUUUCUACCUUUGUUGAAACAUGCAGUGCUUCUCCUGGACCAUCUCUCUGGCUUUCCAAAGUUUCUUUCCUCAGAAACAGAGCCCUGACCUGCAUAUUGACACUACCCUGGUGCUGUGCCAGCUCUGGUUCAGGUACUGGCACAGCAAGUCCUCUGAACUACAGGAAAAUGAUGUGGCAUGAAGAAAAUUAGUGUGGUGGACAGAUAAGAAAGGCUGUUAGGACACCCAUUUAUGCUUUAGGAGAUUAGAAGAAAUGCAGCAUAUCAGAGCUGAGAACGGUUAUGGUUCUUGGCAGAUGUAGGAAGCAUGUGUUCUAUAUGCACUCUGUAUGGAAGCAUUGAGUGCUCAGCAGAGCUCUGAAUCCCCUCAGACAGAGCCCAGACACUCUGAAAUAAAAAAACAGACAUUGGUCUGGCUGCA
Molecule: long non-coding RNA, 1283 nt
Filed under: Anas platyrhynchos platyrhynchos (common mallard)
Lineage: Eukaryota; Metazoa; Chordata; Aves; Anseriformes; Anatidae
Description: lncRNA (ENSAPLG00000030788.1)
Source: RNAcentral